UGCUUUACACAUGCAAGUCGAACGGCAGCAUAGGUGCUUGCACCUGAUGGCGAGUGGCGAACGGGUGAGUAAUGCAUCGGAACGUGCCCAGUCGUGGGGGAUAACGCAGCGAAAGCUGUGCUAAUACCGCAUACGAUCUAUGGAUGAAAGCGGGGGACCUUCGGGCCUCGCGCGAUUGGAGCGGCCGAUGUUAGAUUAGGUAGUUGGUGAGGUAAAGGCUCACCAAGCCUACGAUCUAUAGCUGGUCUGAGAGGACGACCAGCCACACUGGAACUGAGACACGGUCCAGACUCCUACGGGAGGCAGCAGUGGGGAAUUUCGGACAAUGGGCGAAAGCCUGAUCCAGCAAUACCGCGUGCAGGAAGAAGGCCUUCGGGUUGUAAACUGCUUUUGUACGGAACGAAACGGUCUAGAUUAAUACUCUGGGCUAAUGACGGUACCGUAAGAAUAAGCACCGGCUAACUACGUGCCAGCAGCCGCGGUAAUACGUAGGGUGCAAGCGUUAAUCGGAAUUACUGGGCGUAAAGCGUGCGCAGGCGGUUUUGUAAGACAGGCGUGAAAUCCCCGGGCUCAACCUGGGAAUUGCGCUUGUGACUGCAAGG
RNAcentral lists this ribosomal RNA (602 nucleotides) under uncultured beta proteobacterium. RNAcentral's name for it is "bacterial SSU rRNA". It matches the Rfam family "Bacterial small subunit ribosomal RNA", at positions 45 to 640 of the family's 1533-position model. The record is from RNAcentral. Lineage: Bacteria; Pseudomonadati; Pseudomonadota; Betaproteobacteria.